UUCCAAGCUUGAGUUUGAUCCUGGCUCAGAACGAACGUUAGCGGCGCGCCUGACACAUGCAAGUCGCACGAGAAAGGGAGCAAUCCCCGGUAAAGUGGCGCACGGGUGAGUAACACGUAGGUAAUCUACCUUUGAGUGGUGGAUAACGUUCCGAAAGGAACGCUAAUACAGCAUAAGACCACGACCCCGAAAGGGGAUGAGGUCAAAGCGGGCCUCUACUUGUAAGCUCGCGCUCGAAGAUGAGCCUGCGGCCCAUCAGCUUGUUGGUAGGGUAAUGGCCUACCAAGGCAAAGACGGGUAGCUGGUCUGAGAGGAUGAUCAGUCACACUGGAACUGAGACACGGUCCAGACUCCUACGGGAGGCAGCAGUGGGGAAUCUUGCGCAAUGGGCGAAAGCCUGACGCAGCGACGCCGCGUGAGUGAUGAAGGCCUUCGGGUUGUAAAGCUCUGUGGGGAGAGACGAAUAACGCAGCGCGAAUAGUUCUGCAGAUGACGGUAUCUCCUUAGCAAGCACCGGCUAACUCUGUGCCAGCAGCCGCGGUAAGACAGAGGGUGCAAACGUUGUUCGGAAUUACUGGGCGUAAAGCGCAUGUAGGCGGCCAAGCAGGUCGGAUGUGAAAUCCCUCGGCUCAACCAAGGAAGUGCAUUCGAAACCGCAUGGCUGGAGUCCCGGAGAGGGUGGUGGAAUUCUUGGUGUAGAGGUGAAAUUCGUAGAUAUCAAGAGGAACACCGGCGGCGAAGGCGGCCCCCUGGACGAGGACUGACGCU
This 768-nucleotide ribosomal RNA is filed under the name uncultured bacterium. Its description in RNAcentral is "bacterial SSU rRNA". It matches the Rfam family "Bacterial small subunit ribosomal RNA", at positions 1 to 747 of the family's 1533-position model. The record is from RNAcentral.